GAAGACCUAUAUCUACCUACACCAUUGAGGAUGCAUAUCUCAAUCCAUGUUCUUGGUAAUACCUUCUAAAUGGCUCGAGAUUCUAACAUAUGAAGCAAUCUAAAGGAAUCAAAGUCCAUUGAACUAAAUUUAAAGAACCUGAAUACUUAUUAUAGCCUAAAUGCCUCUAUGAAUAACCAUGAGAAAUAUGGACCUUAUUAAAAAUAUUGCUAACAUAGUCAAGUCUACGGGGG
RNAcentral lists this long non-coding RNA (233 nucleotides) under Capsicum annuum. RNAcentral describes it as "long non-coding RNA (CANN_LNC002469)". The record is from RNAcentral. Lineage: Eukaryota; Viridiplantae; Streptophyta; Magnoliopsida; Solanales; Solanaceae.